UUUAAAUUUAGAGUUUGAUCCUGGCUCAGGACGAACGCUGGCGGCGUGCUUAACACAUGCAAGUCGAGCGAUGAAGCUUCCUUCGGGAAGUGAAUUAGCGGCGGACGGGUGAGUAACACGUGGGUAACCUGCCUCAAAGUGGGGGAUAGCCUUCCGAAAGGAAGAUUAAUACCGCAUAAUAUGAGAGAAUCGCAUGAUUUUCUUAUCAAAGAUUUAUUGCUUUGAGAUGGACCCGCGGCGCAUUAGCUAGUUGGUAAGGUAACGGCUUACCAAGGCAACGAUGCGUAGCCGACCUGAGAGGGUGAUCGGCCACAUUGGAACUGAGACACGGUCCAGACUCCUACGGGAGGCAGCAGUGGGGAAUAUUGCGCAAUGGGGGAAACCCUGACGCAGCAACGCCGCGUGGGUGAUGAAGGUCUUCGGAUUGUAAAGCUCUGUUUUCUAGGACGAUAAUGACGGUACUAGAGGAGGAAGCCACGGCUAACUACGUGCCAGCAGCCGCGGUAAUACGUAGGUGGCGAGCGUUGUCCGGAUUUACUGGGCGUAAAGGGUGCGUAGGCGGAUGUUUAAGUGGGAUGUGAAAUCCCCGGGCUUAACCUGGGGGCUGCAUUCCAAACUGGAUAUCUAGAGUGCAGGAGAGGAAAGCGGAAUUCCUAGUGUAGCGGUGAAAUGCGUAGAGAUUAGGAAGAACACCAGUGGCGAAGGCGGCUUUCUGGACUGUAACUGACGCUGAGGCACGAAAGCGUGGGUAGCAAACAGGAUUAGAUACCCUGGUAGUCCACGCCGUAAACGAUGGAUACUAGGUGUAGGGGGUAUCAACUCCCCCUGUGCCGCAGUUAACACAAUAAGUAUCCCGCCUGGGGAGUACGGUCGCAAGAUUAAAACUCAAAGGAAUUGACGGGGGCCCGCACAAGCAGCGGAGCAUGUGGUUUAAUUCGAAGCAACGCGAAGAACCUUACCUGGACUUGACAUCCCUUGCAUAGCCUAGAGAUAGGUGAAGCCCUUCGGGGCAAGGAGACAGGUGGUGCAUGGUUGUCGUCAGCUCGUGUCGUGAGAUGUUAGGUUAAGUCCUGCAACGAGCGCAACCCUUGUUAUUAGUUGCUACCAUUAAGUUGAGCACUCUAAUGAGACUGCCUGGGUAACCAGGAGGAAGGUGGGGAUGACGUCAAAUCAUCAUGCCCCUUAUGUCCAGGGCUACACACGUGCUACAAUGGUAGGUACAAUAAGACGCAAGACCGUGAGGUGGAGCAAAACUUAUAAAACCUAUCUCAGUUCGGAUUGUAGGCUGCAACUCGCCUACAUGAAGCUGGAGUUGCUAGUAAUCGCGAAUCAGAAUGUCGCGGUGAAUACGUUCCCGGGCCUUGUACACACCGCCCGUCACACCAUGAGAGCUGGUAACACCCGAAGUCCGUGAGGUAACCGUAAGGAACCAGCGGCCGAAGGUGGGAUUAGUGAUUGGGGUGAAGUCGUAACAAGGUAGCCGUAGGAGAACCUGCGGCUGGAUCACCUCCUUUCUA
RNAcentral lists this ribosomal RNA (1517 nucleotides) under Clostridium botulinum. RNAcentral describes it as "bacterial SSU rRNA". It matches the Rfam family "Bacterial small subunit ribosomal RNA". The record is from RNAcentral. Lineage: Bacteria; Bacillati; Bacillota; Clostridia; Eubacteriales; Clostridiaceae.